RNAcentral lists this ribosomal RNA (381 nucleotides) under [Candida] sp. LCF-101. Its description in RNAcentral is "eukaryotic LSU rRNA". The stretch from base 63 to 216 matches the Rfam family "5.8S ribosomal RNA". Lineage: Eukaryota; Fungi; Ascomycota; Saccharomycetes; Saccharomycetales. The record is from RNAcentral.
UGUUUUUUUAUACAGCAUAAGCACCAAAACAUUAGUAAUAGUCAAGAAAACAAAAAAAUCAAAACUUUCAACAACGGAUCUCUUGGUUCUCGCAUCGAUGAAGAACGCAGCGAAUUGCGAUAAGUAAUAUGAAUUGCAGAUUUUCGUGAAUCAUUGAAUUUUUGAACGCACAUUGCGCCCUGUGGUAUUCCACAGGGCAUGCCUGUUUGAGCGUCAUUUCUCUCUCAAGCCGUCAGGCUUGGUGUUGAGUUUGCUCGGCUUACUUGAAACGAAUGUGUGCAUUGUUUAGGUUCUACCAGUCAGUGCACGCACCCAUACAAGUUUGACCUCAAAUCAGGUAGGACUACCCGCUGAACUUAAGCAUAUCAAUAAGCGGAGGAA